This 733-nucleotide ribosomal RNA is filed under the name Weissella cibaria. RNAcentral describes it as "bacterial SSU rRNA". It matches the Rfam family "Bacterial small subunit ribosomal RNA", at positions 63 to 769 of the family's 1533-position model. The record is from RNAcentral. Lineage: Bacteria; Bacillati; Bacillota; Bacilli; Lactobacillales; Lactobacillaceae.
CUGAUUUGAAGAGCUUGCUCAGAUAUGACGAUGGACAUUGCAAAGAGUGGCGAACGGGUGAGUAACACGUGGGAAACCUACCUCUUAGCAGGGGAUAACAUUUGGAAACAGAUGCUAAUACCGUAUAACAAUAGCAACCGCAUGGUUGCUACUUAAAAGAUGGUUCUGCUAUCACUAAGAGAUGGUCCCGCGGUGCAUUAGUUAGUUGGUGAGGUAAUGGCUCACCAAGACGAUGAUGCAUAGCCGAGUUGAGAGACUGAUCGGCCACAAUGGGACUGAGACACGGCCCAUACUCCUACGGGAGGCAGCAGUAGGGAAUCUUCCACAAUGGGCGAAAGCCUGAUGGAGCAACGCCGCGUGUGUGAUGAAGGGUUUCGGCUCGUAAAACACUGUUGUAAGAGAAGAAUGACAUUGAGAGUAACUGUUCAAUGUGUGACGGUAUCUUACCAGAAAGGAACGGCUAAAUACGUGCCAGCAGCCGCGGUAAUACGUAUGUUCCAAGCGUUAUCCGGAUUUAUUGGGCGUAAAGCGAGCGCAGACGGUUAUUUAAGUCUGAAGUGAAAGCCCUCAGCUCAACUGAGGAAUUGCUUUGGAAACUGGAUGACUUGAGUGCAGUAGAGGAAAGUGGAACUCCAUGUGUAGCGGUGAAAUGCGUAGAUAUAUGGAAGAACACCAGUGGCGAAGGCGGCUUUCUGGACUGUAACUGACGUUGAGGCUCGAAAGUGUGGGUAGC